GACCGGCAGCGACUUAACUGAACCUUCGGGGAACGUUAAGGGCGGCGAGCGGCGGACGGGUGAGUAAUGCCUGGGAAUAUGCCCUGAUGUGGGGGAUAACUAUUGGAAACGAUAGCUAAUACCGCAUAAUCUCUUCGGAGCAAAGAGGGGGACCUUCGGGCCUCUCGCGUCAGGAUUAGCCCAGGUGGGAUUAGCUUGUUGGUGAGGUAAUGGCUCACCAAGGCAACGAUCCCUAUCUGGUCUGAGAGGAUGAUCAGCCACACUGGAACUGACACACGGUCCACACUCCUACGGGAGGCAGCAGUGGGGAAUAUUGCACAAUGGGGGAAACCCUGAUGCAGCCAUGCCGCGUGUGUGAAGAAGGCCUUCGGGUUGUAAAGCACUUUCAGUAGGGAGGAAGGUAGUGUAGUUAACACCUGCAUUAUUUGACGUUACCUACAGAAGAAGCACCGGCUAACUCCGUGCCAGCAGCCGCGGUAAUACGGAGGGUGCGAGCGUUAAUCGGAAUUACUGGGCGUAAAGCGCAUGCACGCGGCCUGUUAAGUCAGAUGUGAAAGCCCGGGGCUUAACCUCGGAAUUGCAUUUGAAACUGGCAGGCUACAGUCUUGUAGAGGGGGGUAGAAUUUCCGGUGUAG
This 635-nucleotide ribosomal RNA is filed under the name Photobacterium damselae subsp. piscicida. Its description in RNAcentral is "bacterial SSU rRNA". It matches the Rfam family "Bacterial small subunit ribosomal RNA", at positions 64 to 678 of the family's 1533-position model. Lineage: Bacteria; Pseudomonadati; Pseudomonadota; Gammaproteobacteria; Vibrionales; Vibrionaceae. The record is from RNAcentral.